Molecule: ribosomal RNA, 372 nt
Filed under: uncultured organism
Description: partial 16S ribosomal RNA
Rfam family: Bacterial small subunit ribosomal RNA
Source: RNAcentral
GUAGGUGGCAAGCGUUGUCCGGAAUUAUUGGGCGUAAAGCGCGCGCAGGCGGUUCUUUAAGUCUGAUGUGAAAGCCCACGGCUCAACCGUGGAGGGUCAUUGGAAACUGGAGAACUUGAGUGCAGAAGAGGAAAGCGGAAUUCCACGUGUAGCGGUGAAAUGCGUAGAGAUGUGGAGGAACACCAAUGACGAAGGCGGCUUUCUGGUCUGUAACUGACGCUGAGGCGCGAAAGCGUGGGGAGCAAACAGGAUUAGAUACCCUGGUAGUCCACGCCGUAAACGAUGAGUGCUAAGUGUUAGGGGGUUUCCGCCCCCCUUAGUGCUGCAGCUAACGCAUUAAGCACUCCGCCUGGGAGUACGGCCGCAAGGCUG